UACGUAGGGUGCGAGCGUUGUCCGGAAUUACUGGGCGUAAAGAGCUCGUAGGUGGUUUGUCGCGUUGUUCGUGAAAACUCACAGCUCAACUGUGGGCGUGCGGGCGAUACGGGCAGACUGGAGUACUGCAGGGGAGACUGGAAUUCCUGGUGUAGCGGUGGAAUGCGCAGAUAUCAGGAGGAACACCAGUGGCGAAGGCGGUGCUCUGGGCCGGAACUGACGCUGAGGAGCGAAAGCGUGGGGAGCAAACAGG
Molecule: ribosomal RNA, 253 nt
Filed under: uncultured bacterium
Lineage: Bacteria
Description: partial 16S ribosomal RNA
Rfam family: Bacterial small subunit ribosomal RNA
Source: RNAcentral